Molecule: ribosomal RNA, 605 nt
Filed under: uncultured bacterium
Lineage: Bacteria
Description: bacterial SSU rRNA
Rfam family: Bacterial small subunit ribosomal RNA
Source: RNAcentral
CCUUUUGGGACGGAGUCGUUUUGGAAAAUCCUUCGGGAUUGGAAUUCUCGACUUAGUGGCGGACGGGUGAGUAACGCGUGAGCAAUCUGCCUUUAAGAGGGGGAUAACAGUCGGAAACGGCUGCUAAUACCGCAUAAAGCAUUAAAUUCGCAUGUUUUUGAUGCCAAAGGAGCAAUCCGCUUUUAGAUGAGCUCGCGUCUGAUUAGCUGGUUGGCGGGGUAACGGCCCACCAAGGCGACGAUCAGUAGCCGGACUGAGAGGUUGAACGGCCACAUUGGGACUGAGACACGGCCCAGACUCCUACGGGAGGCAGCAGUGGGGAAUAUUGCGCAAUGGGGGAAACCCUGACGCAGCAACGCCGCGUGAUUGAAGAAGGCCUUCGGGUUGUAAAGAUCUUUAAUCAGGGACGAAACAAAUGACGGUACCUGAAGAAUAAGCUCCGGCCAACUACGUGCCAGCAGCCGCGGUAAUACGUAGGGAGCAAGCGUUAUCCGGAUUUACUGGGUGUAAAGGGCGCGCAGGCGGGCCGGCAAGUUGGAAGUGAAAUCUAUGGGCUUAACCAUAAACUGCUUUCAAAACUGCUGGUCUUGAGUGAUGGAGAGGCA